Molecule: unclassified non-coding RNA, 1101 nt
Filed under: Agrilus planipennis (emerald ash borer)
Lineage: Eukaryota; Metazoa; Arthropoda; Insecta; Coleoptera; Buprestidae
Description: uncharacterized LOC108743716, transcript variant X1
Source: RNAcentral
UAAUUAUGUAGCAUUAUAUAAUACAGGGUGUUCUUUUUCUGUUAAGUUAUACAUGGAGAGUAACUCCUUGCUGCACGUCUCCUACAAGUUGCUGCCCUCUUGGUCGAGUCUGAGGGUGUUGAAUUUGAAAGGGAACCGAUUCUAUUGCGACUGUGAUCUGUACAACAUAUCGCAACAGCUCAAUGAAGACAUCAAACGAAAUGGCGACGGGCCGUACUGCCUGGACGCGAAGGCGUUCACAUCAAGAGAAGUGUACACACUCAAGGACAACGCCUGCGGAAUGUGGCCCCUUGAAGAUUCUACAAGUAAAUCAGUUUUCCAUAAGUCGAUGACGCUUAUGAGAAUCGUACUGAUGUUAAUGAUGGCGUUAUUAAUCAUUUCUACAGCUAUGGCCGUAUGGCUGGCGGUAAUGAAAUGGAAAACAUACAAUAGAAGCCUCAAUUAUCCAUUUCCAAAUCAAGUAGUUUAUAAUCCAGUUUCAACUUAUGACGCGAGAUAUUAGGAGAGCACAGAUUUUUUUUAUUUCAGUACCUACGCAGAGAAAAUUAUUUAUUUCGUAGUAAAAGACACUCAAUCAAACCGUAUACAUACAGAUCUUUAUAUUAUUUUACUUAUAAGCUGGGAAAACUUUUUUUUUUGUUACCUACCUGGCAAGAAGAACCAGAAAUUUGUUCGGCAUAAGCAAGGAACUGGUGUAAGAUAUCUUCGGACUUCUGUGCAGUUUCUUUAAAAGUAUAGAACAUGUCCAAUUGUUCGGCACAACGUAAACAAAUUACAUGAGGCAGUGGGUCACUAUCAGAUAUCUAUAAAAAAAAAAAAGUGGAAUAAACAUUACUUUUAAAACCUACCCCAAUAAUAUUUACUAAUCUACUUCUUUACUGCUUUAACAUAAUGUACAGGUGUGUAAUAAAUAACAUUAAGUAGAUAGGUACCUAUCUAAAAAAAAAAGGCAAAAAGGUCCCAACGAUAUAAAACUGAUAAAUAUUACAAAGCAAAUAAUAAUGAGAAACUUGAUACUACCCACUGCGUUUCUAUUUUUAGAAGUGUACCUACAUUGAUACAUAAUAUGUAAAUUACCAAAUAAAUAAUUUGCCAAUAUCA